RNAcentral lists this transfer RNA (73 nucleotides) under Patiria miniata (bat star). Its description in RNAcentral is "tRNA-Thr". It matches the Rfam family "tRNA". Rfam says of the family: Transfer RNA (tRNA) molecules are approximately 80 nucleotides in length. Their secondary structure includes four short double-helical elements and three loops (D, anti-codon, and T loops). Further hydrogen bonds mediate the characteristic L-shaped molecular structure. tRNAs have two regions of fundamental functional importance: the anti-codon, which is responsible for specific mRNA codon recognition, and the 3' end, to which the tRNAs corresponding amino acid is attached (by aminoacyl-tRNA synthetases). tRNAs cope with the degeneracy of the genetic code in two manners: having more than one tRNA (with a specific anti-codon) for a particular amino acid; and 'wobble' base-pairing, i.e. permitting non-standard base-pairing at the 3rd anti-codon position. Lineage: Eukaryota; Metazoa; Echinodermata; Asteroidea; Valvatida; Asterinidae. The record is from Rfam by way of RNAcentral.
GGCUGGAUAGCUCAGUCGGUAGAGCACUGGAAUGGUAAUCCGGAGGUCGCAGGUUCAAACCCCACUUCAGCCA